CGGGGUGCAGCAGGCGCGAAAACUUUACAAUGCUGGCAACAGCGAUAAGGGGACCUUGAGUGCCAGGAUACAAUCCUGGCUGUCGUGAUGCCUAAAAAGCAUUAUAUAGCAAGGGCCGGGCAAGACCGGUGCCAGCCGCCGCGGUAACACCGGCGGCUCGAGUGGUAACCGCUAUUAUUGGGUCUAAAGGGUCUGUAGCCGGCUUGGUUAGUCUCUUGGGAAAUCCGGCAGCUUAACUGUCGGGCUUUCAGGAGAUACUGCCAGGCUCGAGACCGGGAGAGGUGAGAGGUACUUCAUGGGUAGGGGUGAAAUCUUGUAAUCCUUGAAGGACCACCAGUGGCGAAGGCGUCUCACCAGAACGGAUCUGACGGCAAGGGACGAAAGCUAGGGGCACGAACCGGAUUAGAUACCCGGGUAGUCCUAGCCGUAAACGAUACUCGCUAGGUGUCGGCCACGGUGCGACCGUGGUCGGUGCCGUAGGGAAGCCGUGAAGCGAGCCACCUGGGAAGUACGGCCGCAAGGCUGAGACUUAAAGG
This 536-nucleotide ribosomal RNA is filed under the name uncultured archaeon. RNAcentral's name for it is "bacterial SSU rRNA". It matches the Rfam family "Archaeal small subunit ribosomal RNA", at positions 326 to 862 of the family's 1478-position model. The record is from RNAcentral.